GGGUCGAUGCCCGAGCGGGACGGACUUUCAAUUCGUUGGCGAGAUGUCUACGCUGGUUCAAAUCCAGCUCGGCCCU
Molecule: transfer RNA, 76 nt
Filed under: Galeola lindleyana
Lineage: Eukaryota; Viridiplantae; Streptophyta; Magnoliopsida; Asparagales; Orchidaceae
Description: tRNA-Glu
Rfam family: tRNA
About the family: Transfer RNA (tRNA) molecules are approximately 80 nucleotides in length. Their secondary structure includes four short double-helical elements and three loops (D, anti-codon, and T loops).
Source: RNAcentral